RNAcentral lists this ribosomal RNA (496 nucleotides) under uncultured bacterium. Its description in RNAcentral is "partial 16S ribosomal RNA". It matches the Rfam family "Bacterial small subunit ribosomal RNA", at positions 29 to 507 of the family's 1533-position model. The record is from RNAcentral.
AUGAACGCUGGCGGCGUGCCUAAUCCAUGCAAGUCGAGCGAACAGAUGAGGAGCUUGCUCCUCUGACGUUAGCGGCGGACGGGUGAGUAACACGUGGAUAACCUACCUAUAAGACUGGGAUAACUUCGGGAAACCGGAGCUAAUACCGGAUAAUAUAUUGAACCGCAUGGUUCAAUAGUGAAAGACGGUUUUGCUGUCACUUAUAGAUGGAUCCGCGCCGCAUUAGCUAGUUGGUAAGGUAACGGCUUACCAAGGCAACGAUGCGUAGCCGACCUGAGAGGGUGAUCGGCCACACUGGAACUGAGACACGGUCCAGACUCCUACGGGAGGCAGCAGUAGGGAAUCUUCCGCAAUGGGCGAAAGCCUGACGGAGCAACGCCGCGUGAGUGAUGAAGGUCUUCGGAUCGUAAAACUCUGUUAUUAGGGAAGAACAAAUGUGUAAGUAACUAUGCACGUCUUGACGGUACCUAAUCAGAAAGCCACGGCUAACUACGUG